AACAUAUAUACUAUAUAGGCCAACUCAUAUAUAUGAAACAAGUAACUCAUUAUUAAAUUCUAUGAAUACAGCAACAUAAUGAAUGUACACUUGUACAGUGGAUAUAAGAUGGUCCAUAUUCAUAAUGAUGAAUGUAUAUAAGAAGUAUCCAUCGAUUGCUUGAGAGCCAAGGAAACGUGGACUGGUAUUUCCUUGUCAUCGUCGUCCAUGUCUCAUGAAAUGACACGUUGACGUUGGUCAAAGUGACGGCGGCUGCUGGGCAGAUUUGGAGGUAGGUAAUAGUAGAAUGUCUGCCACUUUCGUCUCUCAUCAUCCAAUUUCAUAUUUCACAUGAAAUUUGAACAUACGUUUAAUUCACUAACAAAUGGCUGAUUAUUUUAAAACAUAUAACAAUAUAGAAUGAAACCACACAUAAAGAGCAUCCGGACUUAAAAUUAUAACUAGUUAUAACCAAGAAGAGUAAGGAACACAAAAGAGAAAAAUGACAGUUAG
RNAcentral lists this long non-coding RNA (492 nucleotides) under Linum usitatissimum (flax). RNAcentral's name for it is "long non-coding RNA (LUSI_LNC005269)". The record is from RNAcentral. Lineage: Eukaryota; Viridiplantae; Streptophyta; Magnoliopsida; Malpighiales; Linaceae.